GACGAACGCUGGCGGCGUGCUUAACACAUGCAAGUCGAACGGAAAGGCCCUGCUUUUGUGGGGUGCUCGAGUGGCGAACGGGUGAGUAACACGUGAGUAACCUGCCCUUGACUUUGGGAUAACUUCAGGAAACUGGGGCUAAUACCGGAUAGGAGCUCCUGCUGCAUGGUGGGGGUUGGAAAGUUUCGGCGGUUGGGGAUGGACUCGCGGCUUAUCAGCUUGUUGGUGGGGUAGUGGCUUACCAAGGCUUUGACGGGUAGCCGGCCUGAGAGGGUGACCGGCCACAUUGGGACUGAGAUACGGCCCCGACUCCUACGGGGGGCCGCAGUGGGGAAUAUUGCACCAUGGGCGGAAGCCUGAUGCAGCAACGCCGCGUGCGGGAUGACGGCCUUCGGGGUGGAAACCGCUUUCGCCUGGGACCAAGCGUGAGUGACGGUAAUGGGUAAAGAAGCACCGGCUAACUACGUG
This 468-nucleotide ribosomal RNA is filed under the name uncultured bacterium. Its description in RNAcentral is "partial 16S ribosomal RNA". It matches the Rfam family "Bacterial small subunit ribosomal RNA", at positions 28 to 507 of the family's 1533-position model. The record is from RNAcentral.